AGUGAACGCUGGCGGUAGGCCUAACACAUGCAAGUCGAACGGCAGCACCGUAAGAGCUUGCUCUUACGGGUGGCGAGUGGCGGACGGGUGAGGAAUACAUCGUAAUCUACUUUUUCGUGGGGGAUAACGUAGGGAAACUUACGCCAAUACCGCAUACGAUCUACGGGUGAAAGCAGGGGAUCUUCGGACCUUGCGCGAUUGAAUGAGCCGAUGUCGGAUUCGAUAGUUGGCUGGCUAAAUGCCCACCAAGGCGACGAUUCGUAGAUGGUGUGAGUGAAGGAUAAGCCAAAAAGGAAGCUAGACACGUUCCUGACGACUAAGGGAGGGAGAAGUGGGGAAUAAUGGACAAUGGGCGCAAACCUGAUACAGUGAUACCGCGUCGGUGAAGAAAGCCCUCGGGUUGUAAAGGCCUUUUGUGGGGAGAGAAAAGCAUCAGGUUGAUACCCCGCUGGUCUGACGGGACCCGAAGAAUAAGCACCGGCGAACUUCGUG
This 492-nucleotide ribosomal RNA is filed under the name uncultured bacterium. Its description in RNAcentral is "partial 16S ribosomal RNA". It matches the Rfam family "Bacterial small subunit ribosomal RNA", at positions 29 to 507 of the family's 1533-position model. The record is from RNAcentral.